RNAcentral lists this ribosomal RNA (510 nucleotides) under Campylobacter coli. RNAcentral's name for it is "bacterial LSU rRNA". It matches the Rfam family "Bacterial large subunit ribosomal RNA", at positions 1955 to 2464 of the family's 2925-position model. The record is from RNAcentral. Lineage: Bacteria; Pseudomonadati; Campylobacterota; Epsilonproteobacteria; Campylobacterales; Campylobacteraceae.
GGUAGCGAAAUUCCUUGUCGGUUAAAUACCGACCUGCAUGAAUGGCGUAACGAGAUGGGAGCUGUCUCAAAGAGGGAUCCAGUGAAAUUGUAGUGGAGGUGAAAAUUCCUCCUACCCGCGGCAAGACGGGAAGACCCCGUGGACCUUUACUACAGCUUGACACUGCUAUUUGGAUAAGAAUGUGCAGGAUAGGUGGGAGGCUUUGAGUAUAUGACGCCAGUUGUAUAUGAGCCAUUGUUGAGAUACCACUCUUUCUUAUUUGGGUAGCUAACCAGCUUGAGUUAUCCUCAAGUGGGACAAUGUCUGGUGGGUAGUUUGACUGGGGCGGUCGCCUCCCAAAUAAUAACGGAGGCUUACAAAGGUUGGCUCAGAACGGUUGGAAAUCGUUCGUAGAGUAUAAAGGUAUAAGCCAGCUUNACUGCAAGACAUACAAGUCAAGCAGAGACGAAAGUCGGUCUUAGUGAUCCGGUGGUUCUGUGUGGAAGGGCCAUCGCUCAAAGGAUAAAAGGU